Molecule: transfer RNA, 85 nt
Filed under: Felis catus (domestic cat)
Lineage: Eukaryota; Metazoa; Chordata; Mammalia; Carnivora; Felidae
Rfam family: tRNA
About the family: Transfer RNA (tRNA) molecules are approximately 80 nucleotides in length. Their secondary structure includes four short double-helical elements and three loops (D, anti-codon, and T loops). Further hydrogen bonds mediate the characteristic L-shaped molecular structure. tRNAs have two regions of fundamental functional importance: the anti-codon, which is responsible for specific mRNA codon recognition, and the 3' end, to which the tRNAs corresponding amino acid is attached (by aminoacyl-tRNA synthetases). tRNAs cope with the degeneracy of the genetic code in two manners: having more than one tRNA (with a specific anti-codon) for a particular amino acid; and 'wobble' base-pairing, i.e. permitting non-standard base-pairing at the 3rd anti-codon position.
Source: Rfam by way of RNAcentral
GCCUGGGUGGCUCAGUUGGUUGAGCGUCCGACUUCAGCUCAGGUCACGAUCUCGCGGUCCGUGAGUUCAAGCCCCGCAUCAGGCU